GUUCGCAUAGCUUAACUAGGUUAAAGCACCCGACUCAUAAUCGGAUGAUUGGAGGUUCAAGUCCGCCUGCGAGCACCA
This 78-nucleotide transfer RNA is filed under the name compost metagenome. RNAcentral describes it as "tRNA-Met". It matches the Rfam family "tRNA". Rfam says of the family: Transfer RNA (tRNA) molecules are approximately 80 nucleotides in length. The record is from RNAcentral.